UACGUAGGGGGCUAGCGUUGCUCGGAUUUACUGGGCGUAAAGGGCGCGUAGGCGGACAGUUUAGUCAGAGGUGAAAGCCCAGGGCUCAACCUUGGAAUUGCCUUUGAUACUGGCUGUCUUGAGUACGGGAGAGGUGAGUGGAACUCCGAGUGUAGAGGUGAAAUUCGUAGAUAUUCGGAAGAACACCAGUGGCGAAGGCGACUCACUGGCCCGUUACUGACGCUGAGGCGCGAAAGCGUGGGGAGCAAACAGG
Molecule: ribosomal RNA, 253 nt
Filed under: uncultured bacterium
Lineage: Bacteria
Description: partial 16S ribosomal RNA
Rfam family: Bacterial small subunit ribosomal RNA
Source: RNAcentral